CCUACGGGGGGCAGCAGUGGGGAAUAUUGGACAAUGGGCGAAAGCCUGAUCCAGCCAUGCCGCGUGUGUGAAGAAGGCCUUCGGGUUGUAAAGCACUUUCAGUGGGGAAGAAAGCCUUGGGGCUAAUACCCUCGAGGAAGGACAUCACCCACAGAAGAAGCACCGGCUAACUCCGUACCAGCAGCCGCGGUAAUACGGAGGGUGCGAGCGUUAAUCGGAAUUACUGGGCGUAAAGCGCGCGUAGGCGGUCUGAUAAGCCGGUUGUGAAAGCCCCGGGCUCAACCUGGGAACGGCAUCCGGAACUGUCAGGCUAGAGUGCAGGAGAGGAAGGUAGAAUUCCCGGUGUAGCAGUGAAAUGCGUAGAGAUCGGGAGGAAUACCAGUGGCGAAGGCGGCCUUCUGGACUGACACUGACGCUGAGGUGCGAAAGCGUGGGUAGCAAACAGGAUUAGAUACCCGGGUAGUC
RNAcentral lists this ribosomal RNA (465 nucleotides) under Vreelandella stevensii. RNAcentral describes it as "partial 16S ribosomal RNA". It matches the Rfam family "Bacterial small subunit ribosomal RNA", at positions 338 to 795 of the family's 1533-position model. The record is from RNAcentral. Lineage: Bacteria; Pseudomonadati; Pseudomonadota; Gammaproteobacteria; Oceanospirillales; Halomonadaceae.